UACGUAGGGGGCAAGCGUUGUCCGGAAUCAUUGGGCGUAAAGCGCGCGUAGGCGGCCCGGUAAGUCCGUUGUGAAAGUCAAAGGCUCAACCUUUGAACGCCGAUGGAUACUGCCGGGCUAGAGUCCGGAAGAGGCGAGUGGAAUUCCUGGUGUAGCGGUGGAAUGCGCAGAUAUCAGGAAGAACACCCGUGGCGAAGGCGGCUCUCUGGAACGCAACUGACGCUGAGACGCGAAAGCGUGGGGAGCAAACAGG
RNAcentral lists this ribosomal RNA (253 nucleotides) under uncultured bacterium. RNAcentral's name for it is "partial 16S ribosomal RNA". It matches the Rfam family "Bacterial small subunit ribosomal RNA", at positions 524 to 776 of the family's 1533-position model. The record is from RNAcentral.